GACAUAGGUCGCGAACGUUAUCCGGAAUUAUUGGGCGUAAAGAGCGUGUAGGCGGUCAGGUAGGUCCGUUGUGAAAACUCAAGGCUCAACCUCGAGACGCCGAUGGAAACCAUCUGACUAGAGUCCGGAAGAGGAGAGUGGAAUUCCUGGUGUAGCGGUGAAAUGCGCAGAUAUCAGGAAGAACACCCGUGGCUAAGGCGGCUCUCUAGUACGGUACUGACGCUGAGGCACGAAAGCGUGGGGAGCAAACAGG
RNAcentral lists this ribosomal RNA (253 nucleotides) under uncultured bacterium. Its description in RNAcentral is "partial 16S ribosomal RNA". It matches the Rfam family "Bacterial small subunit ribosomal RNA", at positions 524 to 776 of the family's 1533-position model. The record is from RNAcentral.